GCCUUCUGGACUGACACUGACACUGAGGUGCGAAAGCGUGGGUAGCAAACAGGAUUAGAUACCCUGGUAAUCCACGCCGUAAACGAUGUCGACCAGCCGUUGGGUGCCUAGCGCACUUUGUGGCGAAGUUAACGCGAUAAGUCGACCGCCUGGGGAGUACGGCCGCAAGGUUAAAACUCAAAUGAAUUGACGGGGGCCCGCACAAGCGGUGGAGCAUGUGGUUUAAUUCGAUGCAACGCGAAGAACCUUACCUACUCUUGACAUCCUGCGAACUUGUGAGAGAUCACUUGGUGCCUUCGGGAGCGCAGAGACAGGUGCUGCAUGGCUGUCGUCAGCUCGUGUUGUGAAAUGUUGGGUUAAGUCCCGUAACGAGCGCAACCCUUGUCCUUAUUUGCCAGCGGGUAAUGCCGGGAACUCUAAGGAGACUGCCGGUGACAAACCGGAGGAAGGUGGGGACGACGUCAAGUCAUCAUGGCCCUUACGAGUAGGGCUACACACGUGCUACAAUGGCCGGUACAAAGGGUUGCGAGCUCGCGAGAGUCAGCUAAUCCCGAAAAGCCGGUCUCAGUCCGGAUCGGAGUCUGCAACUCGACUCCGUGAAGUCGGAAUCGCUAGUAAUCGUGAAUCAGAAUGUCACGGUGAAUACGUUCCCGGGCCUUGUACACACCGCCCGU
This 674-nucleotide ribosomal RNA is filed under the name uncultured bacterium. Its description in RNAcentral is "bacterial SSU rRNA". It matches the Rfam family "Bacterial small subunit ribosomal RNA", at positions 724 to 1397 of the family's 1533-position model. The record is from RNAcentral.